This 459-nucleotide ribosomal RNA is filed under the name uncultured bacterium. RNAcentral describes it as "partial 16S ribosomal RNA". It matches the Rfam family "Bacterial small subunit ribosomal RNA", at positions 338 to 795 of the family's 1533-position model. The record is from RNAcentral.
CCUACGGGCGGCUGCAGUGAGGAAUAUUGGUCAAUGGUCGGGAGACUGAACCAGCCAAGCCGCGUGAGGGAGGAAGGUACAGAGUAUCGUAAACCUCUUUUGUCAGGGCACAAAGGCGGGGACGUGUCCCCGGAUGAGUGUACCUGAAGAAAAAGCAUCGGCUAACUCCGUGCCAGCAGCCGCGGUAAUACGCAGGAUGCGAGCGUUAUCCGGAUUUAUUGGGUUUAAAGGGUGCGCAGGCGGUCUGUUAAGUCAGCGGUAAAAUUGCGGGGCUAAACCCCGUCGAGCCGUUGAAACUGGCAUACUGGAGUGCCGGAGAGGUAAGUGGAAUUCCUAGUGUAGCGGUGAAAUGCGUAGAUAUUAGGAGGAACACCAGUGGCGAAGGCGGAUUACUGGACGGUAACUGACGCUGAGGCGCGAAAGCGUGGGGAGCAAACAGGAUUAGAUACCCCAGUAGUC